Long non-coding RNA from Hippocampus comes (tiger tail seahorse), 1074 nucleotides. RefSeq lists it as uncharacterized. Lineage: Eukaryota; Metazoa; Chordata; Actinopteri; Syngnathiformes; Syngnathidae. The transcript has 3 exons. The record is from RefSeq and is a predicted model, not a curated record.
GAAGUUGUGAGUUGCAAUCGCAGUUUGCGAUCAGAGAUGUUGCGCUCUUUUAUUGUUAUUCUUGUUCUCAUUUAGAGUUUGUUUCAUGGACAAUUCACAGAGGAUACGGACAAAGAAUGGAAAUCAUGGAGUGCCGGGAGAAGCAAUUUCAAAUGGUACACGUGAGCUACGACCGUGAACACGCUGCAAAAAGUGCCGUCCCAUGCCUCCGCGUCAGGUCUCUACUAAGGUGCCUCCGGUUGGCUUUGGGACGCGUGAGACCACAACACUUCUGCAUCCGGAUAGACGUCGCUGAACGUGCAGACAGGGCCGUCCUUCGUCAAAACGCCUUUGACCGUCCCGCAGCACUCUGUCGAGCACACCAUCAGUGAACUUCACUUUAAGAGCUUACCUGCAUCUUAUUUGAAGAAUUGUGGUAACAGUUCGCAUGUUGAAGAACUUUUAAGUCGGGUCUUUCAUGAAUCAAGGUUCCGAUGUAAAGAAGUCCACUCUCAUAGCAACAUCCCGUGUAAUUCAACCAUCAUUCGAGGUUCUUAUGUGUUUUUUGACCAGUCCUGGAAUGACAGACCUUAUUUCUUACGAAAAAUGCCCACAGAUCUUUUCAGUUCAAACUUUUUGGGCUUUCAAAUGGAAUUCAGGAGCAUAGUGAGGAGAGCGACAUAAAAAGACAGCCGCUCUCUUUGUCUGUUUUGGCAGCGAUUGUGUGAAAUAGUCGCAGUGCACAGAUGAGCUCUUUUGCAGACCGUGGGCAGACGCAUUGGGGAGCUUGUCACCUCCGUGCGUUCCGCGCUCGUGUCACACAAAGGGACAGUGGCUCUGUCAGUCACAGUGUCACUUCCACAAGCCUGCAUACUCCCCGCAGGCCUUUUUACCCCGCCUUUGGCAUCGCUUCGUGAUCUCAAUGCUCACAGGACUUCUGCUUUUACUGUGAAGGCUUCUGGUCUGUCAAAACAAUCCGCACACAAGGCAAAUGAGUACGUAUGUUCAUAUUGCUCCUGUCAUCACCUGUGCAUGGGAUUGGAUCCACCGUGUGUUAUGACUUCAAAGCACUGUGAGAAAACAUUUUCAUAAAGU